This 27-nucleotide small RNA is filed under the name Bombyx mori (domestic silkworm). Its description in RNAcentral is "ovarian small RNA-30028". Lineage: Eukaryota; Metazoa; Arthropoda; Insecta; Lepidoptera; Bombycidae. The record is from RNAcentral.
UCUGUCAAGUAAAGUUUGAUGGACAAG